CGCCGGGCAAUCAAGGAUUUGAUGGCAAGAGGUUCGAUCAGGAUGAUAUCUGCUCAUGCUAGUCAGCAGAUUUACACCAGAGCUACAAAUACCUAGAUGGAAACCAACUGUAGAAUGUUUUACUCUAGCUAGUCUUACGGAUUUGGAUCUGAUUUGCUUUGUUAUCUUAAUGCUUAAGCCAUUCAAGUUCUUUCUGUUUAGUACUUGUUAUUUGAGGCUGUUGAUGGGGAAUGGUAUUUUAUUUUAGCUGCCUGUUGAACUUGAUUAUUAUGAUGAAUGAUUUUGCC
Molecule: long non-coding RNA, 287 nt
Filed under: Jatropha curcas
Lineage: Eukaryota; Viridiplantae; Streptophyta; Magnoliopsida; Malpighiales; Euphorbiaceae
Description: long non-coding RNA (JCUR_LNC003262)
Source: RNAcentral